RNAcentral lists this ribosomal RNA (519 nucleotides) under uncultured bacterium. RNAcentral describes it as "bacterial SSU rRNA". It matches the Rfam family "Bacterial small subunit ribosomal RNA", at positions 28 to 534 of the family's 1533-position model. The record is from RNAcentral.
GAUGAACGCUAGCGGCAGGCCUAACACAUGCAAGUCGAGGGGCAUCAUGGCGUAGCAAUACGCUGAUGGCGACCGGCGCACGGGUGCGUAACGCGUAUGGAACCUACCCACCGCAGGGGGAUAACCCGCCGAAAGGCGGACUAAUACCCCAUGGUUCCCCGACCCUGCCUGGGGUUGGGGGUAAAGCCUACGGGCGGCGGUGGAUGGCCCUGCGUGCCAUUAGCUGGCUGGUGGGGUAACGGCCCACCAGGGCGACGAUGGCUAGGGGGUCUGAGAGGACGAUCCCCCACACUGGUACUGAGACACGGACCAGACUCCUACGGGAGGCAGCAGUGAGGAAUAUUGGUCAAUGGGCGGAAGCCUGAACCAGCCAUGCCGCGUGCAGGAUGACGGCCCUACGGGUUGUAAACUGCUUUUCCACGGGAAGAACCCUCCGACGUGUCGGAGACUGACGGUACCGUGGGAAUAAGCACUCCGGCUAACUCCGUGCCAGCCAGGACCGCGGUAAAACGUAGCGUG